UGGGGAAUUUUGGACAAUGGGGGAAACCCUGAUCCAGCCAUCCCGCGUGUGCGAUGAAGGCCUUCGGGUUGUAAAGCACUUUUGGCAGGAAAGAAACGUCAUGGGUUAAUACCCCGUGAAACUGACGGUACCUGCAGAAUAAGCACCGGCUAACUACGUGCCAGCAGCCGCGGUAAUACGUAGGGUGCAAGCGUUAAUCGGAAUUACUGGGCGUAAAGCGUGCGCAGGCGGUUCGGAAAGAAAGAUGUGAAAUCCCAGAGCUCAACAUUGGAACUGCAUUUUUAACUACCGGGCUGGAGUGUGUCAGAGGGAGGUGGAAUUCCGCGUGUAGCAGUGAAAUGCGUAGAUAUGCGGAGGAACACCGAUGGCGAAGGCAGCCUCCAGGGAUAACACUGACGCUCAUGCACGAAAGCGUGGGGAGCAAACAGG
This 429-nucleotide ribosomal RNA is filed under the name Acidobacteriota bacterium. RNAcentral describes it as "Acidobacteria bacterium partial 16S ribosomal RNA". It matches the Rfam family "Bacterial small subunit ribosomal RNA", at positions 355 to 776 of the family's 1533-position model. The record is from RNAcentral. Lineage: Bacteria; Pseudomonadati; Acidobacteriota.